AACGAACGCUGGCGGCAUGCCUAACACAUGCAAGUCGAACGAUCCCUUCGGGGAUAGUGGCGCACGGGAGCGUAACGCGUGGGAAUCUGCCCUUGGCUUCGGAAUAACAGUUAGAAAUGACUGCUAAUACUGGAUGAUGUCUUUGGACCUACGAUUUAGCGGCCAGGGAUGAGCCCGCGUAGGAUUAGGUAGUUGGUGGGGUAAAGGCCUACCAAGCCGACGAUCCUUAGCUGGUCUGAGAGGAUGAUCGGCCACACUGGGACUGAGACACGGCCCAGACUCCUACGGGAGGCAGCAGUGGGGAAUAUUGGACAAUGGGCGCAAGCCUGAUCCAGCAAUGCCGCGUGAGUGAUGAAGGCCUUAGGGUCGUAAAGCUCUUUUACCCGGGAUGAUAAUGACAGUACCGGGAGAAUAAGCUCCGGCUAACUCCGUGCCAGCCGCCGCCGUAA
This 449-nucleotide ribosomal RNA is filed under the name uncultured bacterium. RNAcentral's name for it is "partial 16S ribosomal RNA". It matches the Rfam family "Bacterial small subunit ribosomal RNA", at positions 29 to 523 of the family's 1533-position model. The record is from RNAcentral.